This 208-nucleotide long non-coding RNA is filed under the name Mytilus galloprovincialis (Mediterranean mussel). Lineage: Eukaryota; Metazoa; Mollusca; Bivalvia; Mytilida; Mytilidae. The record is from RNAcentral.
CAAAACUUUAACCUGAAGCGGGACAGACGAACGAAUGGACGGACGCACAGACCAGAUACAUAAUGCCCAUAUAUGGGGCAUAAUAAGAUUAUCAUACUCAUAAUAAACAUCUAUUUCAGGUUUUAACAUGUGAAAAUAUGAGCUAGUUGCUACUGGAAGUACUUAAUAUGUCAGUUACAUGCAAAACGUUACAAUAUCAUGAUGAACG